Gasterosteus aculeatus aculeatus (three-spined stickleback) is the source of this 404-nucleotide long non-coding RNA. NCBI's taxonomy places the organism in Eukaryota, Metazoa, Chordata, Actinopteri, Perciformes, Gasterosteidae. The record is from Ensembl.
CAACACUGAUCCUGUGAAAAUGUCACAGCCGGGAGGCAGCCAGCAACAACACCGGUGAAGGGCCGGGGCCUUGUGCUGCGUGCCAUCACCGCCUGACAUGAGGGGAUCUCUGGAUGUGCACUGCUAUUGCAUGAAGGGACAUUUUCUGAAGACAUCAAGGACAGGAGGGCUCCAAUUGCCACACUGUGAGGAAAAUGCUCAUUUCAGUCUGGAUCCUACGUGUGCGAGAGGCUGUGUGGCUGCGCCCUGUGUAAACACCUGGUCACCGCCACUGUGCACCGUCUGACCGCAGAACAAUGGACAGCCAGCUGGGCCAUCUUUUACUCUUCAUUGAGGUUCACCUUAAGAAUUGCAUGUGGACUCUUGUGAGUAAUUACAAGAAAGUGAGCCUUUGACCUUUGACG